UUAGGGUUAGGGUUAGGGUUAGUGUUAUUGUUAGGGUUAGGGUAAGGCAUAGGUUUAGGGUAAGGGUUAGGGUUAGGGUUAGGGUAGGGUUAGGGUUAGGGUUAGGGUUAGGGUUACGGUAGGGUUAGGGUUUGGGUUACGGUAGGGUUAGGGUUAGGUUACAGUAAGUUUAGGGUUAUGGUAAAGGUUAGGGUUAGGGGUAACGUUAGGGUUGCGGUAGGGUUAGUGUUAGGUUUAGGGUCAGGGUUGGGGUUAGGGUUAGUGUUAGGUUUUGGUUUAGGCUUAGGAUUAGUUUUUGGGUUGGGGUUAGGUUAGGGUUAGGGUUAGGGGUUAGGGAAGGGUAGGGGUAGGGUUAGGGUUAGGGUUAGGGUAGGGGUUAGGGGUAGGGGUAGGGUUAUGGUUAGGCGUAGGGUUAGGGUUAGUUUAGGUUUAGCAUUAGCAUUAGGGUAAGGGCAUGGUAUGGGUUAGGGUUAGGGUUAGGGUUAGGGGUAGGGUUAGGGUUAGGGUUAGGGUUAGGGUUAGGGUUAGGGUUAGGGUUAGGGUUAGGGUUAGGGUAGGGGUUAGGGAAAGGGUAAGGGUUAGGGUUAGGGUUACUUUUAGGGUUAGGGUUAGGGUUAGGGUUAGGGUUAGGGUUAGGUUAGGGUUAGCGUUAAUGUUAGGGUUAAUGUUAGGGUUAGUGUAGGGUUAGGGUUAGGCUUAGGGUUAGGGUUAGGGGUAGGGUUAGGGUUAGGGUUAGGGUUAGGGUUAGGGUUAGGGUUAGCGUUAGGGUUAGGGUUAGGGUUAGGGUUACGGUUAGGGUUAGGGUUAGGGUUAGGGGUUAGGGUAAGGAUUAGGGUUUGGGUUAGGGUAGGGUUAGGGUUUGGGUUAGCGUUAGGGUUAUGGUUAGGGUUAGGGUUAGGGUAAGGGUAGGGUUAGGGUUUGGUUUUGGGUUAGGGUUAGGUUUAGGGUUAAGGCUUAGUGUUAUUGUUAGGGGUAGGGUUAGGGUUAGGGUUUGGGUUAGGGUUAGGGUUACGAUUAGGCUCAUUAGGGUUAGGGUUAGGGUUUGGGUUAGGCACAUUACGGUUAGGGUUAGGCACAUUACAGUUAGGGUUAGGGUUAUGGUUAGGGUUAGAGUAGGGUUAGGGUUAGGUUUAGGGUUAGGGUACCAUCAAUUCGGGUUAGGGUUAUGUUUAGGCACGUUAGGGUUAGGGUUAGGCACGUUAGGGUUUGGGUUAGGCAUGUUAGUGUUAGGGUUAGGGUUAGGCACGUUAGGGUUAGGGUUAGACACGUUAGGGUUAGGGUUAGGCAUGUUAGUGUUAGGGUUCGGGUUAGGCACGUUAGGGUUAGGGUUAGGGUUAGGCACGUUAGGGUUAGGCACGUUAGGGUUAGGGUUAGUGUUUGGGUAAUGGUUUGGGUUAGGGUUAGGGUUCAGGUUAGGGUUCGGGUUAGGGAUUGGGUUUGGGUUAGGGAUAGGGAUAGGGUUAGGGUUAGGAUAAGGGUAAGGUUUUUGUUAGGCGUAGGUUUAUGGUUACGUUUUGGGUUGGGGUUAAGUUAGCAUUUGGUUUAAAGUUAGGGAAAGGAUAAGGGUUAGGAGUAGGUUUAGGGAAUGGGUUCGGGUUAGGGUAGGGUUAGUGUUAGGGUACGUUUAGGGUAAGGGUAAGUGUUCGGUUUCUGGUUAGGGUUAUUGUAGGGUUAAGGUUAGGGUUACAGUAAGGGUAGGGUUAGGGUUUGGUUUUGGGUUAGGGUUAGGUUUAGGGUUUGGGUAAGGGUUAGUGUUAUUGUUAGGGUUAGGCUUAAGUUUAGGUUUAGUGUAAGGGUUUAGGGUUAGGGUUAAGGUUACAGUAAGUUUAGGGUUAUGGUAACGGUUAGGGAUAGGAUUAUGGUAGGGUUAGGGUUAGAGGUAAUGUUAGUUUUAGGGUUAGGUUUAGGGUCCGGGUUGGGGUUAGGGUUAGGGUUAGGUUUUGGUUUAGGCUUAGGAUUAGAUUUUGGGUUGGGGUUAGGUUAGGGUUAGGUUUAGGUUUAGGGUGAGCAUUAGUGUUAUUUUUAGGGUUAGGGUUCGGAUUAAGUUUAGCGUUAGGGUUUAGGUUUAGUGUUAGGGUUAAGGUUACGGUAUGUUUAGGGUUAUGAUAAAGGUUAGGUUUAGAGGUAAGGUUAGGGUUAGGUUUAGGGUCAGGGUUAAUGUUAGUGUUAGGUUUAGGGUUAGGGUUUAGGGUUAGGGUAAGGGUUAGGUUUUUGCUUGGGGUUAGCUUAAGGUUAGGGUUAGGGUUAGGUUUAGACACAUUAGGGUUAGGGUUGGGCACGUUAGGGUUAGGGUUUGGCACGUUAGAGUUAGGGUUAGCGUUAGGUUUAGACAUUAGGGUUAGGGUUAGGCACGUUAGGGUUAGGGUUAGGGUUAGGGUUAGGCACAUUAGGGUUAGGGUUAGGGUUAGGGUUAGGGUUAGGGUUAGGGUUAGGGGUAGGGUUAGGGAUAGGGUUAGGAUUAGGGUUAGGGUUUGGGUUGAGGUUGGGGUUUGUGUUGGGUUUUGUGUUAGGGUUAGGGUUUGUGUUAAGUUUAGUGUAGGGUAAGGGUUAGUGUUAGGGUACGUUUAGGGUAAGGGUAAGGGUUCGGUUUCCGGUUAGGGUAAGUGUUAGGGUUAUUGUAGGGUUAAGGUUAGGGUUACGGUAAGGGUAGGGUUAGGGUUUGGUUUUGGGUUAGGGUUAGGGUUAGGGUUAGUGUUAGGGUUAGGGUUAGGGUUAGGGUUAGGGUUAGGGUUAGGGUUUGGGUUAGGGUUAGGGUUAGGGUUAGGGUUAGGGUAAGGUUAGGGUUAGGGACAGGGUUACGUUUAGGGUUAGGUUUAGGGUUAGGGUUUAGUGUUAGGGUAAGGGUUAGGUUUUUGCUAGGGGAUAGCUUAAGAUUAGGUUUAGGUUUUUGGUUAGGUUUUUGGUUGGGGUUAGCUUAAGGUUAGGGUUAGGUUUUUGGUUGCGGUUAGGUUAAGGUUAGGGUUAGGGUAAGGAUUAUACUUAGGGUUUGGGUUUGGGUUAGGGUUCGGGUAAGUUUAGGUUUUGGGUAAGGGUUAGGUUUAGUGUUAGGGUUAGGUUUAGUGUUAGGGUUAGGGUUAGGGUUAGGUUUAGGCUAAGGUUAUGGUUAGGGUUCGGUUUAGGGUUAGGGUUAGGAUUACGGUUAAGAUUAGGGUUAAGGUAGGUUUAGGGUCAGUGUUAGGGUUAGCGUUUAGGGUUAGGAUUAGGGUUAGGGUUAGGAUUGGGGAUAGACUUGCGCUUUCGGUUAGGGUAAGUGUAAGGGUUAGCUAAGGGUUAGGGUUAGGGUUAAUUUUAGGGUAGGGUAAUGGUUAGGGUUAGGUUUAGGGUUAGGGUUAGUGUUAGGGUUAUGGUUAGGGUUAGGUUUUGUUUUAGGCUUAGGGUUUGGGUUAGGGUUAGGUUUUGUGUUGGGGUUAGGUUUAGAGUUAGGGAUCGGGUUAGGGUUAGGGUUAAGGAUAGGAUUAGGGUUAGGGUUAGGGUAAGGUUUAGAGUUUGGUUUUGGGUUGCGGUUAGGUUAGGUUUAGGGUUAGGGUACGAUUAUGGUAAGGGUAAGGGUUAGGUUUAGGGCUAGGGUUAGGUUAGGGUCAGGGUCAGGGUCAGGGUAGGGUUGAUUAGGGUAAGGUCAGGGUCAUUGUCAGGGUUAGGGUUACGGUAUGGGUUAGGGUCAGGGUCAGGGUCAGGACUAGGGCUAGGUUAGGGUAAGGUUAGGGUUAGGGUUAGGUUUUGGUUAAGGGUUAGGGUUAGGAUUUGGCUUAUUGUUAUGAUUAGGGUUAGGGUAAGGGUUUGGAUUAGGAUAAGGCUAUGGUUAGGGUUUGUUUUAGGGUUAUGGAUAGGAUUAAGGUUAGUGUUAGUUUUUUGGUUAGUGUUAGGGUUAUGUUAGGUUUAGGGUUAGGGUUAGGGUUAAGGUUAUAUUCUGUUUAGGGUUAGGUUUAGGGUUAGGGUUAAGGUUAGGGUUUGUCUUAAUGUUGGUUUAGGGAAAGGGUUGUGUUAGUGU
Molecule: long non-coding RNA, 3988 nt
Organism: Gallus gallus (chicken)
Lineage: Eukaryota; Metazoa; Chordata; Aves; Galliformes; Phasianidae
Source: Ensembl